AGCGAACGCUGGCGGCAGGCUUAACACAUGCAAGUCGAGCGGGCGUAGCAAUACGUCAGCGGCAGACGGGUGAGUAACGCGUGGGAACAUACCUUUUGGUUCGGAACAACACAGGGAAACUUGUGCUAAUACCGGAUAAGCCCUUACGGGGAAGAUUAUCGCCGAAGAUUGGCCCGCGUCUGAUUAGCUAGUUGGUGAGGUAACGGCUCACCAAGGCGACGAUCAGUAGCUGGUCUGAGAGGAUGAUCAGCCACAUUGGGACUGAGACACGGCCCAAACUCCUACGGGAGGCAGCAGUGGGGAAUAUUGGGACAAUGGGCGCAAGCCUGAUCCAGCCAUGCCGCGUGAGUGAUGAAGGCCCUAGGGUUGUAAAGCUCUUUUGUGCGGGAAGAUAAUGACGGUACCGCAAGAAUAAGCCCCGGCUAACUUCGUGCCAGCAGCCGCAGUAAU
Molecule: ribosomal RNA, 450 nt
Filed under: uncultured bacterium
Lineage: Bacteria
Description: bacterial SSU rRNA
Rfam family: Bacterial small subunit ribosomal RNA
Source: RNAcentral